This 150-nucleotide small nuclear RNA is filed under the name Carlito syrichta (Philippine tarsier). RNAcentral describes it as "U12 minor spliceosomal RNA (ENSTSYG00000031615.1)". It matches the Rfam family "U12 minor spliceosomal RNA". From Rfam's summary of the family: Although the U12 sequence is very divergent from that of U2, the two are functionally analogous. The record is from Rfam by way of RNAcentral. Lineage: Eukaryota; Metazoa; Chordata; Mammalia; Primates; Tarsiidae.
AUGCCUUAAACUUAUGAGUAAGGAAAAUAAUAUUUCAGGGUGACACCUAAAUCCUUACUGCUAAUGUGAGAUGAAUUUUUGAGUGGGUAAAGUUUGCCCCUAAGGUGACCUGCCUACUUUGCAGGAUGCCUGGGAGUCCUGAUCAGCCCA